Non-coding RNA from Camellia sinensis, 93 nucleotides. NCBI's taxonomy places the organism in Eukaryota, Viridiplantae, Streptophyta, Magnoliopsida, Ericales, Theaceae. The record is from RefSeq and is a predicted model, not a curated record.
UCGCAAUGAUGACAAAAAAGGCCGGCUUACAGCUGACUUUACAAAUGGGUUGGUAGUAGAUUUGAUGAACCUUGUCAAGGGUUACUGAGCCAG